AACGGCCAUAUCACGUUGAAACACCGGUUCACAUACGAUCUCUUAAGCAACGUCGCGCUUGAUCACUACCUAGAUGGGCGACCACUUGGAAAUAUCAGGUGUU
Molecule: non-coding RNA, 103 nt
Organism: Acanthosepion pharaonis
Lineage: Eukaryota; Metazoa; Mollusca; Cephalopoda; Sepiida; Sepiidae
Source: the annotation of a GenBank genome assembly